Molecule: ribosomal RNA, 2907 nt
Filed under: Escherichia coli
Lineage: Bacteria; Pseudomonadati; Pseudomonadota; Gammaproteobacteria; Enterobacterales; Enterobacteriaceae
Description: 23S ribosomal RNA
Rfam family: Bacterial large subunit ribosomal RNA
Source: RNAcentral
GGUUAAGCGACUAAGCGUACACGGUGGAUGCCCUGGCAGUCAGAGGCGAUGAAGGACGUGCUAAUCUGCGAUAAGCGUCGGUAAGGUGAUAUGAACCGUUAUAACCGGCGAUUUCCGAAUGGGGAAACCCAGUGUGUUUCGACACACUAUCAUUAACUGAAUCCAUAGGUUAAUGAGGCGAACCGGGGGAACUGAAACAUCUAAGUACCCCGAGGAAAAGAAAUCAACCGAGAUUCCCCCAGUAGCGGCGAGCGAACGGGGAGCAGCCCAGAGCCUGAAUCAGUGUGUGUGUUAGUGGAAGCGUCUGGAAAGGCGCGCGAUACAGGGUGACAGCCCCGUACACAAAAAUGCACAUGCUGUGAGCUCGAUGAGUAGGGCGGGACACGUGGUAUCCUGUCUGAAUAUGGGGGGACCAUCCUCCAAGGCUAAAUACUCCUGACUGACCGAUAGUGAACCAGUACCGUGAGGGAAAGGCGAAAAGAACCCCGGCGAGGGGAGUGAAAAAGAACCUGAAACCGUGUACGUACAAGCAGUGGGAGCCUCUCUUUAUGGGGGGUGACUGCGUACCUUUUGUAUAAUGGGUCAGCGACUUAUAUUCUGUAGCAAGGUUAACCGAAUAGGGGAGCCGAAGGGAAACCGAGUCUUAACUGGGCGUUAAGUUGCAGGGUAUAGACCCGAAACCCGGUGAUCUAGCCAUGGGCAGGUUGAAGGUUGGGUAACACUAACUGGAGGACCGAACCGACUAAUGUUGAAAAAUUAGCGGAUGACUUGUGGCUGGGGGUGAAAGGCCAAUCAAACCGGGAGAUAGCUGGUUCUCCCCGAAAGCUAUUUAGGUAGCGCCUCGUGAAUUCAUCUCCGGGGGUAGAGCACUGUUUCGGCAAGGGGGUCAUCCCGACUUACCAACCCGAUGCAAACUGCGAAUACCGGAGAAUGUUAUCACGGGAGACACACGGCGGGUGCUAACGUCCGUCGUGAAGAGGGAAACAACCCAGACCGCCAGCUAAGGUCCCAAAGUCAUGGUUAAGUGGGAAACGAUGUGGGAAGGCCCAGACAGCCAGGAUGUUGGCUUAGAAGCAGCCAUCAUUUAAAGAAAGCGUAAUAGCUCACUGGUCGAGUCGGCCUGCGCGGAAGAUGUAACGGGGCUAAACCAUGCACCGAAGCUGCGGCAGCGACGCUGAUGCGUUGUUGGGUAGGGGAGCGUUCUGUAAGCCUGCGAAGGUGUGCUGUGAGGCAUGCUGGAGGUAUCAGAAGUGCGAAUGCUGACAUAAGUAACGAUAAAGCGGGUGAAAAGCCCGCUCGCCGGAAGACCAAGGGUUCCUGUCCAACGUUAAUCGGGGCAGGGUGAGUCGACCCCUAAGGCGAGGCCGAAAGGCGUAGUCGAUGGGAAACAGGUUAAUAUUCCUGUACUUGGUGUUACUGCGAAGGGGGGACGGAGAAGGCUAUGUUGGCCGGGCGACGGUUGUCCCGGUUUAAGCGUGUAGGCUGGUUUUCCAGGCAAAUCCGGAAAAUCAAGGCUGAGGCGUGAUGACGAGGCACUACGGUGCUGAAGCAACAAAUGCCCUGCUUCCAGGAAAAGCCUCUAAGCAUCAGGUAACAUCAAAUCGUACCCCAAACCGACACAGGUGGUCAGGUAGAGAAUACCAAGGCGCUUGAGAGAACUCGGGUGAAGGAACUAGGCAAAAUGGUGCCGUAACUUCGGGAGAAGGCACGCUGAUAUGUAGGUGAAGUCCCUCGCGGAUGGAGCUGAAAUCAGUCGAAGAUACCAGCUGGCUGCAACUGUUUAUUAAAAACACAGCACUGUGCAAACACGAAAGUGGACGUAUACGGUGUGACGCCUGCCCGGUGCCGGAAGGUUAAUUGAUGGGGUUAGCGCAAGCGAAGCUCUUGAUCGAAGCCCCGGUAAACGGCGGCCGUAACUAUAACGGUCCUAAGGUAGCGAAAUUCCUUGUCGGGUAAGUUCCGACCUGCACGAAUGGCGUAAUGAUGGCCAGGCUGUCUCCACCCGAGACUCAGUGAAAUUGAACUCGCUGUGAAGAUGCAGUGUACCCGCGGCAAGACGGAAAGACCCCGUGAACCUUUACUAUAGCUUGACACUGAACAUUGAGCCUUGAUGUGUAGGAUAGGUGGGAGGCUUUGAAGUGUGGACGCCAGUCUGCAUGGAGCCGACCUUGAAAUACCACCCUUUAAUGUUUGAUGUUCUAACGUGGACCCGUAAUCCGGGUUGCGGACAGUGUCUGGUGGGUAGUUUGACUGGGGCGGUCUCCUCCUAAAGAGUAACGGAGGAGCACGAAGGUUGGCUAAUCCUGGUCGGACAUCAGGAGGUUAGUGCAAUGGCAUAAGCCAGCUUGACUGCGAGCGUGACGGCGCGAGCAGGUGCGAAAGCAGGUCAUAGUGAUCCGGUGGUUCUGAAUGGAAGGGCCAUCGCUCAACGGAUAAAAGGUACUCCGGGGAUAACAGGCUGAUACCGCCCAAGAGUUCAUAUCGACGGCGGUGUUUGGCACCUCGAUGUCGGCUCAUCACAUCCUGGGGCUGAAGUAGGUCCCAAGGGUAUGGCUGUUCGCCAUUUAAAGUGGUACGCGAGCUGGGUUUAGAACGUCGUGAGACAGUUCGGUCCCUAUCUGCCGUGGGCGCUGGAGAACUGAGGGGGGCUGCUCCUAGUACGAGAGGACCGGAGUGGACGCAUCACUGGUGUUCGGGUUGUCAUGCCAAUGGCACUGCCCGGUAGCUAAAUGCGGAAGAGAUAAGUGCUGAAAGCAUCUAAGCACGAAACUUGCCCCGAGAUGAGUUCUCCCUGACCCUUUAAGGGUCCUGAAGGAACGUUGAAGACGACGACGUUGAUAGGCCGGGUGUGUAAGCGCAGCGAUGCGUUGAGCUAACCGGUACUAAUGAACCGUGAGGCUUAACCUU